GAUGAACGUUGGCGGCGUGCCUGACACAUGCAAGUUGAACGAUUCCCGAAUAGCUUGCUAUUCGGGAAGAGUAGCGAACGGGUGAGUAACACGUGAGUAAUCACCCCUUGAGUGAGGAAUAAUUCCGCGAAAGCGGGACUAAUACCGCAUAAUAUACUCUGUGGGCAUAAGCCCUUAGAGUCAAAGCUUUCCGAGCAAUCGGAUGGCGCUUGAGGACGAGCUCGCGGCCUAUUAGCUAGUUGGUAGGGUAAUGGCCUACCAAGGUUAUGAUGGGUAGCCGGCUUGAGAGGGUGUACGGCCACACUGGGACUGAGACACGGCCCAGACUCCUACGGGAGGCAGCAGUGGGGAAUAUUGCGCAAUGGGCGAAAGCCUGACGCAGCGACGCCGCGUGGAGGAUGAAGGCCUUCGGGUUGUAAACCCCUUUUCUUAGGGAAGAACUAAUGACGGUACCUAAGGAAUAAGCCUCGGCUAACUACGUGCCAGCAGCCGCGGUAAUACGUAGGAGGCAAGCGUUGUCCGGAUUUACUGGGCGUAAAGAGGGAGCAGGCGGCUCUUCAAGUCAGAUGUAAAAUCUCCAGGCUCAACUGGGAGGGAUCAUUCGAUACUGUUGAGCUUGAGGGCAGCAGGGGGAGAUGGAAUUCCCGGUGUAGUGGUGAAAUGCGUAGAUAUCGGGAGGAACACCAGUGGCGAAGGCGGUCUCCUAGGCUGUUGCUGACGCUGAGGUCCGAAAGUGUGGGGAGCGAACAGGCUUAGAUACCCUGGUAGUCCACACUGUAAACGAUGGACACUGGGUAUGGGGGGUAUCGACCCCCUCCGUGCCGAAGCUAACGCGUUAAGUGUCCCGCCUGGGGACUACGGCCGCAAGGCUA
This 872-nucleotide ribosomal RNA is filed under the name uncultured Chloroflexota bacterium. Its description in RNAcentral is "bacterial SSU rRNA". It matches the Rfam family "Bacterial small subunit ribosomal RNA", at positions 28 to 896 of the family's 1533-position model. The record is from RNAcentral. Lineage: Bacteria; Bacillati; Chloroflexota.